RNAcentral lists this ribosomal RNA (268 nucleotides) under uncultured prokaryote. RNAcentral describes it as "partial 16S ribosomal RNA". It matches the Rfam family "Bacterial small subunit ribosomal RNA", at positions 524 to 792 of the family's 1533-position model. The record is from RNAcentral.
UACGUAGGGGGCUAGCGUUAUCCGGAAUUACUGGGCGUAAAGGGCGCGUAGGCGGCUGUGUAAGUCAGUAGUGGAAGUCCAGCUUUUAAUGUUGGAAGUGCUAUUGAAACUGUGCAGCUUGAGUGCAGGAGAGGUUAUCGGAAUUCCCGGUGUAGCGGUGAAAUGCGUAGAGAUCGGGAGGAACACCAGUGGCGAAGGCGGCUUCCUGGUCUGUAACUGACACUGAGGCGCGAAAGCGUGGGGAGCAAACGGAUUAGAUACCCUGGUA